GUAGUAUUAGUUAUAUUCUUAAAAUUUAAAGAAUUUGGCGGUGUUUUAGUCUAUUUAGAAGAAUCUGUUCUGUUAUUGAUAAUCCACGUUGACCCUUACUUAAAUUUGUAUUCAAUUUGUAUAUCGUCGUCAUCAGAAUAUAUUAUAAGAUGUCAGGUCAAGGUGCAGUUUAUGUUAAGUAGAAAUGAAUUACAAUAGAUUUAUUUAUACGGAUAAUUUUUUGAAAUAAAAAUUUGAGGUGGAUUUAAUAGUAAUAUAAAAUAGAUUAU
RNAcentral lists this ribosomal RNA (269 nucleotides) under Anopheles stephensi (Asian malaria mosquito). RNAcentral describes it as "partial 12S ribosomal RNA". Lineage: Eukaryota; Metazoa; Arthropoda; Insecta; Diptera; Culicidae. The record is from RNAcentral.